Long non-coding RNA from Patella vulgata (common limpet), 823 nucleotides. RefSeq lists it as uncharacterized. The transcript is spliced from 4 exons. The record is from RefSeq and is a predicted model, not a curated record. Lineage: Eukaryota; Metazoa; Mollusca; Gastropoda; Patellidae.
GUCUGAGUCCAAACCAUGUUUCCAAACAGAGUAAACUUUCCGUGACCCGCAAAUUAUAUUUUUAACUGGUUUGCUUUUGGCGCAAUAUUCUGAUGUUUAGGCUAACACUGUUUUUAACGGCGUCAGCUUCUUAUAUUUAUUGGGCUACAAACACUAAACAGUUGUCUUUUAUUUUCUGAGGAGAUUUUCUGACCUGGGUAAUGUAAAUGAAGUUUGUUACUUUAUAGUAGGCUAGUAUUUGACUAAAACUGCAUAAAUCAAAUCUUAAUCAUAGAUGUACCGAUUGUAAAUAAUUUUUUUUGCUGACGAAGUCUUUUCUAACUUUUGGGUGUUCAUCAAUAGUGGUUUUGAUUUUUCACUUGGAUUGGUGGAAGAAGGUACCAUACAAUACUAUACUACUGUACUGUGUUAGAUUGUUCAGCGUAAAUUGGUUUCAAAGACCUUUCCAGUACGCCACGGUAUUCAGUAUAAUCUAAGGAAAUUAAAACAGAAGAAAAGUAUAGAAAAUAUUUCCAAUUAUCUAUCUUGAGAUCACAGAGAUUGAAUGCUGCAGGUCUUGUGUUUAGUGUAUAGACUAAUUGGUGGAUGUUAUUAACAUUAACCUUUUAGCAAAGGUUAGCUUGAUGAUGUUACUGACUUUGCAGUGUAGUGGAAGAUGUUAACCUAACUUUGGUAGACAACAAGCCUAACCCUGAAGUCAACGAUGUACAAUAUGUCAGUGUCACGGUUCCACUACCAAACGUAACGCGAAUAUAAACAAUACUUACGGGUACAUGUCUUUAAUUUGAUUGAAAUGAGGUCAACUUAAAAAUUUGUGUAGAUG